This 253-nucleotide ribosomal RNA is filed under the name uncultured bacterium. RNAcentral describes it as "partial 16S ribosomal RNA". It matches the Rfam family "Bacterial small subunit ribosomal RNA", at positions 524 to 776 of the family's 1533-position model. The record is from RNAcentral.
UACGUAGGUGGCAAGCGUUGUCCGGAAUUACUGGGCGUAAAGAGCUCGUAGGUGGUUUGUCGCGUUGUUCGUGAAAACUCACAGCUUAACUGUGGGCGUGCGGGCGAUACGGGCAGACUGGAGUACUGCAGGGGAGACUGGAAUUCCUGGUGUAGCGGUGGAAUGCGCAGAUAUCGGGAGGAACACCGGUGGCGAAGGCGGUUCUCUGGGCCUGUACUGACGCUGAGGAGCGAAAGCGUGGGGAGCGAACAGG